This is a non-coding RNA of Chlorocebus sabaeus (green monkey), 3933 nucleotides long. Lineage: Eukaryota; Metazoa; Chordata; Mammalia; Primates; Cercopithecidae. The record is from RefSeq and is a predicted model, not a curated record.
CUUUUUUGAUCUUCAUUGGUUUAAAGUCUGUCUUAUCAGAGACUAGGAUUGCAACCCCUGCUUUUUUUUUUGCUUUGCAUUUUCUUGAUAAAUAACCAAAGGGUAGGUGGUUGAUAGAGUGAGCCAGGCCUCGAGCAGUACUGUUGGGAGGUUGUGGGGAACACACAGACACGGGCACCCGUGAGAGCUAGAAGCACGCCACACCACGGCGGGUCAUGGUUCCCGCCCUGCAGAAGCCGUGAGGCCAGCAUGUGUUGGUCUGUACUGCCCGGCCUGUGGUGAGUUGUCACACAACUACUGCAAGUCCAGGCAGCAGAACGUGAACAGAGCCUCAUGGGCACAGCUUUUCGGCAAUUACUGGCGCAUCCCAUUUUAUUGCACUUCAUUGUGCGUUUUAUAAAUUAUAGGCGUGUGGCAGCCCCACUAGAGCAACCCUGUCAGUGCCACUCUUCCAGCAGCACGGCCACUCCAUGUCUCCUCGUGGUAGUUCUCGCAAUGCCUCAAACUGUUACUGUAUGUGUUACGGUGACCUGUGGUGUCACUACCACCUUGGGGCGCUCAUGUGAACCCCAAGGCACUUGGUGAAAACCCUUCCCAGGGAGUGGGCUUAGCGUGGAAAGGAGGUUCCUCCUUGUCCUGCACACGCCAUGUCCUUGGAGGGCCCGGAGCCCCCACGGUCACCUGUCUUGCGUGUUAUUCCAGGGGCAGCUGGCAGUGUGGCCUCACAGCACAUGCUCGUUCCAUGUCGUGCUCUUUUCACGUAAUGUAGAUUGGAGGUUAUUCCGUGUGAAGCCACUGGAGCCCCUGGGCUCCACUGCCGCUGUGACCUUUCUAUUCAGGGAUAUUUCCGGCUUAUUUGAGCCGUAUUAGCAAAGCGACGGGAAACCAGCCCCACGUACCCAUCCCUGGAGCCAGCGUGUCCACCUUGUGUCCUCCACGCCUCCAAAUCCCCACGCUGGGGUGUGACACUCAUUCUAGCCUAAUUUCAUCCAUUAUUGUUUCCCUGAUGUAUCUCAAAGAGAUAAAAACGUUCAAAAGACCAUAAAACCACCACAGAAUUCCAAAUAUCCAAUGUUCAGAUCUUCCUCACUGCCUUGUAAACUGCUUCAUGUUUUAAGUUUGCUUGCUGGAAUCCGGCAGUGUCCGUGGGACCUCUACGACACCUUUCUCUCUGUCUCCCCAACACCAGCGCUCUCUUCUCAGUUCAGCUAAAGCAGGGGCUUGUGCAUCCUGCACUCGCCGACCGGGGCCCUGUGGUUUUGCGUGUUCUGCUCCGUCCUGUUGAGACGUGGUCACACCAAGGCCACAUCAGGCUCCCCUGCGAUUCCGUUUGGCAGGAGCACCUCGGGGGUCUCGGCACCUCUGUGGCGCUGCUGUUGUGCCUUCCUCCACUGUUAGCUGGAAUAGUAAAGAGAAACCCAAGGUUCACGUUCCUCACUAAAACACCCGCUCUUCAAUUAUAUGGAUGUUUCAUGCAUUUGUGAUACAGUUACUUACUGAUGUACAUUUUGGCCAUUUUUAAUCAUUCACUGUUUAAAAUGCCGCUGCAGUGAGUAUUUGUAUAUAUACAUAAUUUCGCUCAAGUGGCUCUAUGUGGAAUAAAUUCUAAAAAUUUCUGGGUCAAAGAGCACACACAUUCAGCCCCAAUCUUGCUGUUCACCACCUGCAGGGGCUGUGCCAACCCACCCCCACCAGCGACGGAGCACCUGCCUCGUGCCCUUACAGGGAGGGAAAGCAUCUUCUCACGUAUUUAUGAACUGCUUUAUUUCCCUUUUAGUAAAUUAUUCUUUUCAUUAGCCCAUUUUUCUAUUGGUCAGUAUUUUCAUAAGGAAAACUCUCUGACGUGCUGUGAAUUUUUCUGCCAUUUGACAUUUUUAUAUUUAUGCCAUUGUGAUAUAAUCAAAUUAAAUGACUUUCAUUUAUGGAGUUUGAUUCAUUCUGAGGCAAUCACUCCUGGUUGUGAAGUUCAAAAAACCACAUUGUCCAAUUUUGCUUCUGGGAUUUCUACUUUUUAAUUACAUCUUUGAUACAACUGGAAUUUCUUUUGGUAAAUAGAUUACAAAUGCAAAUUUUUCUUUCCAUUUGGAUACCUAAUUGUCCCAACAUCAUUUAUAUCCUGCUUUUCCAGGAAUGAAAUGCCAUCUUUCUAUGUUGGUUGUGAACAUGCUUUUGGCACCUGGCAGGGCCAACCCUCAUGGCGUGUGUGUGAACACAUCCCUCAUGGCGUGUGUGUGAACACAUCCCUAAACCGUUGUCUAAUUUACCCUAUUUUUGUAGUUCACGUGAGCAGAAUCCAGUAUCUGUGUUCUUGCAUCUGGUUUUCACUCCACGUGUUUGGGGCGUGUGCAUAUCCGCUGUGUGUGGUGUGGACUUUAUCCAUGUCCCAUGUGCAAACGCCACCCCACCCAGAGGCCACGCCAGGACCCAGGCCUGUGGGCAGUGGUUCCCAGUUUGCUCUUGCAAGGACGCUGUGUCCUCCUGCGUGAGAGUCCCUGCUUCAGGUCUAAUCCUGGGAGUGGAAGGCAGGUCGUGGGUGCGGCUGCAUCCUCAGCUUCUCUGGAUGAUACUCGCCAAGAGGCUGGCCCGGGAACACACCGGGAGCCAGAGGGCCCAGCCGCACAGCUCCCUCGCACUGGGCUGGGCACUUGGUCACCAGCAGUUUGGGGAGCGUGUUCUCAUGGUGGUUUCAGGUGUGAGUCUGAGCAUCAACCCCGUGUCCACUGGAUGCUGGAGUUCUUUCCUCUCUGGCGGUGUUUCUCAUCAGGGUUCCCCACCGGCCUACUGCACGCUGCGUCUCUCCUGACCUGUAGGAGUCCUCUGUGCCUCUGGCUGCUCACCUUUGUUGGUUUAAUGUUUUGCAAAUGUCUUUCUCCGUUUUGUGGUUUGCUUUUUCAUUCUUCUAAUGGAACAUGUUGCUUUACAGAAGCAUCUAGUUUUAACAGUCUUGUUUAAGAUGGUGUCAACACGCACUGGGCUGGCCUGGUCCCUGAACUCAGGUGUGUUUCCUUUGCAAACUCUAGAGGAGAGAGACAAGGGAGGAAGGACAGAUAGCAGCAGAGCGUGUGGAAAUGUUUUCCAGGCAGGAUGGCUUUCAUUCAAGUGACAGCAUCAUUUGAGUGACAACAGUGGUAGGUGGUGUAAUGGAUUCUGACGUGGUGGGGGUAGGGGGCACGGCCAGGCUCCGAUUCCUCCUGCUGGGCCCAAGGACCGAGGACUGUGACGGGAGUGCACGGUCCCUCCCGUGUCCUGCCAGAGGCCAGGGACUUGGGUCCACCACUGUGCCGGGAUAUGUCCUCAAGAGCUUCUUCAGGAGGUGCUGGGGUGCAGGGCAUGUCUGAAAGGCAUUUCUGGACACUUGCUGUGGCCUCAUACAGGAGAGUAGACGACCUGUCCAGUCGGUACACAGGACAAGAUAAAGCAUCCAGGGACCCGGGGUCACGGCCCUCACUCCACUGCAGGGGUGGGGAUGAGAGAGGCCAGAGGGGAUCAGACAGGGCCAGCUGUUGAUGGUUCUGAGAUGCAGUUUCUGUCUGAGGGGCCUCCUCCCACUCCUGGCCUCUGCAGAGGGGUGGGUGUGUGGAGGGAAGGUGGGUCUGCCCUGGUCGAACAGCAGAGGCAUUGCCUGUUAGUCUCAUUCCAUUCCGAGUGCCCCCAGGGAGAGUCAGCCACCUUCUGCAGAGAAGCAAGGCCAGAAGGCAGGGGCCUCCCCUCUGGUGACCACCAGGGCCUGUGGUACAAGCAGUGCCGGCUGCUGUCCUCUCUGGCCCUUGUCUCCUUUCAGCCUCUCCGCUAUUAGCAGAGGGGCAGAAUUUCAUAGUAGACCACUUGACAGGUAGACACAGGCCACCCCCACACAACCCCUGACUCUGGAGGAGGCUCCCCAGUGGCCUCCUGGAGCCAGGAGAGAUGGGACUGAGCUGUAUCUGCUGCUCC